CAUUUCCCGCAAGGGAGAUGAGUUCCUAGCGGCGAACGGGUGAGUAACACGUGGGCAACCUUUCCUAUCGCGGGGGAUAACAUCGGGAAACCGGUGCUAAUACCGCAUGUCGUCACUGGUCGCAUGGCUGGUGAAGAAAGCAGCAAUGCACGAUGGGGUGGGCCCGCGGCCUAUCAGCUAGUCGGUGGGGUAACGGCCUACCGAGGCGAUGACGGGUAGCUGGUCUGAGAGGACGACCAGCCACACGGGGACUGAGACACGGCCCCGACUCCUACGGGAGGCAGCAGUGAGGAAUCUUCCGCAAUGGGCGAAAGCCUGACGGAGCGACGCCGCGUGUGGGAUGAAGUCCUUCGGGAUGUAAACCACUGUUGGAGGGGAAGACUUCGACGGUACCCUCCGAGAAAGCCCCGGCUAACUACGUGCCAGCCGCCGCCGUAACAC
This 441-nucleotide ribosomal RNA is filed under the name uncultured bacterium. Its description in RNAcentral is "bacterial SSU rRNA". It matches the Rfam family "Bacterial small subunit ribosomal RNA", at positions 71 to 526 of the family's 1533-position model. The record is from RNAcentral.